UUAAGGGAGAGACUUCUCCUUAGCCUGCGUACCCGAGACUUCUAAUUUCGAAUAAAUAUGUAUUUCAUAUCCCUUA
RNAcentral lists this transfer RNA (76 nucleotides) under Fusarium pseudograminearum CS3220. RNAcentral's name for it is "tRNA-Ser". The record is from RNAcentral. RNAcentral also lists the same sequence under 4 other names. Lineage: Eukaryota; Fungi; Ascomycota; Sordariomycetes; Hypocreales; Nectriaceae.